CCUACGGGAGACAGCAGUGAGGAAUAUUGGUCAAUGGACGAGAGUCUGAACCAGCAAAGUAGCGUGAAGGAUGACUGCCCUAUGGGUUGUAAACUUCUUUUAUAUGGGAAUAAAAUGUUCCACGUGUGGGAUUUUGUAUGUACCAUAGGAAUAAGGAUCGGCUAACUCCGUGCCAGCAGCCGCGGUAAUACGGAGGAUCCGAGCGUUAUCCGGAUUUAUUGGGGUUAAAGGGAGCGUAGGUGGAUUGUUAAGUCAGUUGUGAAAGUUUGCGGCUCAACCGUAAAAUUGCAGUUGAAACUGGCAGUCUUGAGUACAGUAGAGGUGGGCGGAAUUCGUGGUGUAGCGGUGAAAUGCUUAGAUAUCACGAAGAACCCCGAUUGCGAAGGCAGUUCACUGGACUGCAACUGACACUGAGGCUCGAAAGUGUGGGUAUCAAACAGGAUUAGAUACCCCAGUAGUC
RNAcentral lists this ribosomal RNA (460 nucleotides) under uncultured bacterium. RNAcentral describes it as "partial 16S ribosomal RNA". It matches the Rfam family "Bacterial small subunit ribosomal RNA", at positions 338 to 795 of the family's 1533-position model. The record is from RNAcentral.